AUGAACGCUAAAAUAUCAGAUUUUGGAUUAGCAAAAAUAUUGAGCUCAAAUAACACUGACACAAAUACUACAAGAAAAGUGGUUGGUACAUAUGGCUACAUGGCACCUGAGUAUGCAUCCCACCACAUUUUCUCUAUCAAAUCGGAUGUAUUCAGCUUUGGAGUUUUAACUCUCGAGAUCGUUAGCGGGAAGAGGAAUUCCCAUGAAUGUGGAGCUUUCAUCAACCUCCUUGGACAUGCUUGGCAAUUAUUUGAAGAGGAAAGCUGGAGCGAACUCAUUGAUGCAACAUUGGUUCCCAACAUUUAUUCGACAGAAAUGAUGAGGUGCAUUAACAUUGCACUGUUGUGUGUACAAGAGAAUGCAGUUGAUCGACCAACAAUGUUGAAUGUAAUUGCAAUGCUAAGCAACAAGACCAUGAUCUUACAAAAGCCUAAGCACCCAGCAUAUUUCAGCUUAAGCACUGCAGGGAACAAAGAAGCACCCACUACUACUCAGUCUUGUAGUGUUAAUGAUGUGACUAUAUCUACGGUGACGCCUAGAUAG
Molecule: ribosomal RNA, 543 nt
Filed under: Triticum aestivum (bread wheat)
Lineage: Eukaryota; Viridiplantae; Streptophyta; Magnoliopsida; Poales; Poaceae
Description: partial small subunit ribosomal RNA
Source: RNAcentral